This 465-nucleotide ribosomal RNA is filed under the name uncultured bacterium. Its description in RNAcentral is "partial 16S ribosomal RNA". It matches the Rfam family "Bacterial small subunit ribosomal RNA", at positions 29 to 507 of the family's 1533-position model. The record is from RNAcentral.
AACGAACGCUGGCGGCGUGCUUAACACAUGCAAGUCGAACGGAAAGGCCCUGCUUGCAGGGUACUCGAGUGGCGAACGGGUGAGUAACACGUGGGUGAUCUGCCCUUCACUUCGGGAUAAGCCUUGGAAACUGGGGCUAAUACCGGAUAGGAGCCAUUUUUAGUGUGAUGGUGGGAAAGUUUUUUCGGUGUAGGAUGAGCUCGCGGCCUAUCGGCUUGUUGGUGGGGUAAUGGCCUACCACGGCGGCGACGGGUAGCCGGCCUGAGAGGGUGGACGGCAACAUUGGGACUGAGAUACGGCCCAGACUCCUAAGGGAGGAAGAAGUGGGGAAUAUUGAACAAGGGGCGCAAGCCUGAUGCAGAGACGCCGCGUGGGGGAUGACGGCCUUGGGGUUGUAAACUCCUUUCGCUAGGGACGAAGCUUUUUGUGACGGUACCUAGAUAAGAAGCACCGGCUAACUACGUG